GGUGGCGACAGGUCAUUCAACAUUCUGCCCUAUCAGCUUUCGACGGUUGUGUAGUGGACAACCAUGGCCAUAACGGGUAACGGAGAAUCAGGGUUCGAUUCCGGAGAAGGAGCUUGAGAAUUGGCUACUACAUCUAAGGAAGGCAGCAGGCGCGCAAAUUACCCAAUCCCGAUUCGGGGAGGUAGUGACAAAAAAUAACAAUACCGGGCCUUUUUGGGCUUGGUAAUUGGAAUGAGGGAGAGUUAAACGGACCAUCGAGUAUCCAUUGGAGGGCAAGUCUGGUGCCAGCAGCUGCGGUAAUACCAGCUCCAAUAGCGUAUAUUAAAGUUGUUGCAGUUAAAAAGCUCGUAGUUGGACUUGUGUGCGCUGUCCGCGGGUGGCCUGCGCCCAAAAGGGCGUUUCGGUUCGGCCCCGGUGGCGCCUUGAAAUCUGCAGCUGGGGGGACGUUGGCCUUAACUGGUCGGCGACCGCACGCCGGCUGCUCGGUUACUGUGAGAAAAUUAGAGUGUUCAAGGCAGGCAUUGGGUGCAAUUGAAUACAUUAGCAUGGAAUAAUAAAAUAUGGCUCCUGCCGUAUUUUGUUGGUUUUGACUGGUGGGAGUAAUGAUUGAUAGGGACGGUUGGGGGUGCUAGUAUUGAGCGGCCAGAGGUGAAAUUCAUGGAUUCGCUCAAGACUAACUUAUGCGAAAGCAUUCACCAAGGACGUCCUCUUUAAUCAAGAACGAAAGUUGGGGGAUCGAAGACGAUCAGAUACCGUCGUAGUCUCAACCAUAAACUAUGUCGACUUGGGAUCGGCGGUAGUUUUUUCAUUAAGACACUGCCGGGACCACGGGAGAAAUCAAAGUGUCUGGACUCUGGGGGAAGUAUGGUCGCAAGGCUGAAACUUGAAGGAAUUGACGGAAGGGCACCACCAGGAGUGGAGCCUGCGGCUUAAUUUGACCCAACACGGGGAAACUUACCAGGUCCAGAGACGUAGAGGAUUGACAGAUUGAAGCUCUUUCUUGAUCACUUCGGUGGUGGUGCAUGGCCGUUCUUAGUUGGUGGAGUGAUUUGUCUGGUUAAUUCCGUUAACGAACGAGACCUCAGCCUGCUAGUGUAGUCGGCUGGAUUGCCUUUGGCGAUCCGUGAUUUCGACUUCUUAGAGGGACAAUCGAUGCGCAGUCGAUGGAAGUUUGAGGCAAUAACAGGUCUGUGAUGCCCUUAGAUGUUCU
This 1210-nucleotide ribosomal RNA is filed under the name metagenome. Its description in RNAcentral is "SSU rRNA". It matches the Rfam family "Eukaryotic small subunit ribosomal RNA", at positions 283 to 1483 of the family's 1831-position model. The record is from RNAcentral.